Molecule: long non-coding RNA, 780 nt
Filed under: Nicotiana benthamiana
Lineage: Eukaryota; Viridiplantae; Streptophyta; Magnoliopsida; Solanales; Solanaceae
Description: long non-coding RNA (NBEN_LNC013158)
Source: RNAcentral
AUGAUCAUCCCAUAUCAUCACCUUGUUUAAGGGAUAUUGAGGUUCCGGGCCACCUCCAACCAACGCCAGAAUAUUGCACCGAAAAAGCAUCUGAACAACACAAAUUCCACCUCCGCCAUUAGCAUUACCGGCAAAAUCGCGGCGGAAAAUCUCGCGAAGCGGGUCGCAGUUGUAGAUCCGGAACCCGCGAUCGGUGCCUGCCGCAAAGCAACCGUGAUCCUGGUUGAAGGAGAGGUAGAGGAUAUUCGGUGUAAACCCGCGAUCGGUGCCCGCAGCAAAGCAACCGUGAUCCUGGUUGAAGGAGAGGUAGAGGAUAUUCGGUGUAGAAGAAUCAAUGGGAAGAGAAAUUGAAGAAGGAUUAGGGUUAAUAUUCUGUAAGGUAGUAGCAGUAGUAGCGGCGGCAGCAGGGGAGGUAACGGAGGUUUCAGAGCGGUGCUCAUCAUCAACAGCUGUGGCGGCAGUGAUGGCAGAGGAGAUAUCGGAGAGGUCAGAGAGAGAGGAACGAUCACCGGAUUCUAGAGCUUGAGGUGAAUUUUCCGACAUGUGAGGGGAAACGAAAGGGUUGGAAUCGGGCCAAGGGGAGGAGGAAGGGAGGGUAGAGGUCAUGGGGAAAGGGCGGAGAAUGGUUGUAGAUGGCGGAGGAAUUGCGUGCUCCGGUGGAGAGAGAGAGAGAGAGGAUGAGAAUGAUUGCAAGUGUAAGGUAGGAGAGAAGUUUCAGAAGGUUCCUUCUGCUUUAACUUGGAGUCAGAGGCAUUCUAGUGCUGCUCUUUUGUUUUGUUU